RNAcentral lists this ribosomal RNA (388 nucleotides) under uncultured bacterium. RNAcentral's name for it is "bacterial SSU rRNA". It matches the Rfam family "Bacterial small subunit ribosomal RNA", at positions 355 to 759 of the family's 1533-position model. The record is from RNAcentral.
UGAGGAAUAUUGCACAAUGGGCGCAAGCCUGAUGCAGCAACGCCGCGUGCGGGACGAAGGCCUUCGGGUCGUAAACCGCUUUUCUGGGGAAAGAGCAAGGACGGUACCUCAGGAAUAAGUCUCGGCUAACUACGUGCCAGCAGCCGCGGUAAAACGUAGGAGGCGAGCGAUAUCCGGAUUUACUGGGCGUAAAGCGCACGCAGGCGGCUCUGUGAGUCGUACGUGAAAGCUCCCGGCUUAACCGGGGGAGGCCGUUCGAUACUGCGGGGGUUGAGGUAGGGAGGGGAAUGAGGAAUUCCGGGGGUAGUGGUGGAAUGCGUAGAUAUCGGGAGGAAAACCGGUGAGGAAAGCGGCAUUCUGGCCGUCACCUGACGCUGAGGUGCGAAAG